Molecule: RNA transcript, 3350 nt
Organism: Oxyura jamaicensis (ruddy duck)
Lineage: Eukaryota; Metazoa; Chordata; Aves; Anseriformes; Anatidae
Gene: ZC3H14
Gene name: zinc finger CCCH-type containing 14
Exons: 18
Source: RefSeq, a predicted model, not a curated record
AGGGGAGGCGGCGCGGAGGCCGGGCCGCGUCCCGCUAGGGGGCGCCGCAGGCGGAGGCCGGGCGCUGUGCGGUGCUGCCGGGACGCCGGGGCCUGGGCGGGAGGCGAGCGGGGAGGCCGCGGCCAUGGAGAUCGGUACCGAGAUCAGCCGCAAGAUCCGGGGGGCUAUAAAAGGAAAGUUGCAGGAGCUGGGGGCUUAUGUUGAUGAAGAACUCCCCGAUUAUAUUAUGGUUAUGGUGGCCAAUAAGAAGAGCCAGGAGCAGAUGACAGAGGACCUUUCCCUUUUCCUUGGAAACAAUACUGUCAGGUUUACUGUAUGGCUCCAUGGUGUUUUGGAUAAGCUGCGGUCUGUGACUACUGAACCAACAAGCGUAAAAUCUUCAGAAUCUAACAUCUUUGAGAGCAACCUUCCUUCCGGCAAAAGCAGUUCAUGUGCGAGUGAUGAGAGGAGGCGUGAGGAUGUCUUGCCACCUCUUGCAGUUUCCAGCACUCGGACAGAAAGAAAUGACUCCAGAGUUUCCACCAGUUCACAGGAACAAAGAAACGCUGCUUCACGGCAGUCUUCUGAAGAUGGUUCUGCAUCCCGCUUAAUGUCUACAGUCAAGCCUUUGAGGGAACUGUCACCUUCUGAAGCUGUAAUUGACAUUAAACCUGAACCAGAUGAUCUAAUUGAUGAAGACCUAAACUUUGUGCAGGAGAACCCUUUGUCGCGGAAAAAACCUACUGUAACUGUAACUUACGGUUCUUCUCGUCCUACUGCUGAAAUCUACCGGCCACCGGGCAGCAGGAGUGCAGAUGGCAGUGUGCACGUGCACAGAUUGUCCCAGCAGGGCACCUUGCAGGGGAGCCGGCAGUUAGACACACAAAGCUGCAGGUCCUUGGAAACAGUCCAGCUGUGCAAUCCAGAAGCAUUUGGCAGCUUAGCAGAGAGUUACAGGCCCACCUCCAAACUCAGUGCUGAUAAAGUAGGCAGCGAGGAAGAAAGCUCCAGGAAGAGAAGGUUGCCUGUUGUUAGCUCAGUAGUUAAAGUGAAAAAAUUCUGUAAUGAUGGUGAAGAGGAGGAGGAGGAAGAAGAAUAUGGAUCGCGAACAGGAAGCAUCUCCAGCAGUGUGUCUGUACCUGCAAAGCCGGAAAGAAGACCUUCACUUCCACCUUCCAAACAAGCCAAUAAGAACUUAAUACUGAAAGCAAUCUCUGAAGCACAGGAAUCGGUUACAAAAACAACUAAUUAUUCCACAGUUCCACAGAAACAAACUGUUCCAGUUGCACCAAGAGCUCGAAUUAGCCCAGAAGAAUCUCAGUUGGAAGUAAUCCAUGUGCAAAGCAGGAUCCCUACUCUGAGUUCUCAGCUUCAAGUAGAAGAGCCAAAGGAGCAGACAGCAGAAGGCAUACAAGGAGCUGAACAAAAGGAGCUCUCUUCUCGGCUUCAGGUUGAUCCUGUGAUUGAGGAUACUUUGCAAGUAACUCCAGACUACUAUGAUGCAGAAUCUAUGGUCCAUACAGACACUAGGUCAUUUAUCCUGAAGAAGCCCAAAUUAUCUGAGGAAAUAGUGCCACAGAAUCAGCAACUGGGAAAGAGGGCUACCGAGGCAAUACGAGUACUCUCAGGCCGUCUAAUACAGACACGAGACCAGCUUGCACAGCCAGAGAAACCUGCUAGUCCCAAGUUCAUCGUGACACUGGAUGGUGUGCCCAGUCCACCAGGAUACCUUUCAGAUCAAGAAGAAGAAGAGAUGUGCAUAUCUGAAGGAUUAAAGCCAGUUACCCAAAAUAUUUGUGCAGGCAAAGGAUUAAAAGGCCUUCGAGCACAGCAGAUGCAGCUUGUAACCAGGCAGCUAGAGAGCUCUGAUGUGGAAAUGGAACAAUUGAACAUUCUGCAAAAACAGGAGAAGGUGCUUGAGCGCUGCAAGUACUGGCCUGCUUGUAAAAAUGGAGAUGAGUGUGUGUACCAUCACCCCACGCUACCUUGCAAAGUUUUUCCUAACUGCAAGUUUGCUGAUAAAUGCUUGUUCAUCCAUCCAAAUUGUAAAUAUGAUGCAAAGUGCACCAAGCCAGACUGCCCUUACACUCAUGCCAGUCGAAGGAACCCCCUCCCGCCUCCCAAACCGGCACCACUACCCACACCGUCUCUAUCCUCCAGUAGUCCGCUGUGCAAGUUUUUUCCUGCCUGUAAGAAAAUGGAAUGCCCAUUUUACCACCCAAAACAUUGUAGGUUUAAUACCCAGUGCACAAGACCAGACUGUACUUUCUACCAUCCAACAAUUACUGUACCUCCACGCCAUGCCUUGAAAUGGACUCGAACCCAAACCACUGAAUGAUGAGGAUACAACUGGGGACUGAACUUUGCUUCUUUCAGCCAGUAGCAGAAAGGACAAUUACCUGCCAGGGGCACAGGAAGUAAGAAAAACUCAUGCAUUUUGAACUUUUAAUAUACAUUGUUUUCAUAAAACAAAGUUGAUUGCAUACUUGAAAUGUCUCUAAUUUUCCAAGUUUGUAAGUUUGAGCAGUUUUACAUUUUUUUUACACUGUAAGAUGUCUGUGUAAGAAUAGAUUUACUUUAAAUUCCAUUAAAAACUUUCAAAGCACAGCCUGUGUUCUAUUUGAGUAAUGUUUCUCAUUUAAGAUUAGGUGUGUUGAAGUUGUUAGGAAGUUUAUGCCUGUAUUCAGGUCAUACUAGAAUUUUUAUUUUUUAAGCAGCUGUGUAGUAUGGUGUAUACAGCUGUCCUGGCAAACACUGAUUGAACUCCUUAGCUGUCUUUUCCUUGUGAGUGAGUGAUGGGGUACCACUGCCAUGUAAUGGUCAUCAUACCUCUGCUACUUUCUUAAACAGGGGCAAGCACGCACAGAAAUGUUUCAUACGUGAGAACAAUUAAACAGUGAUGGUGUGCUCUGUUCAGAAACCCUAGGAAAUUAAAUACCACUUCACUUGAAAGUAAAUGGUUUCAGGUAUCUUCAUUUAUAAUUGGAAGACAAAGUCUCUCUCUGAAUCUGUUGCUGAAUACUUUUUUUCUUUCCAACACUUCUUCCUACUGGACACACUUUGUAAAUAACUCAUUUGAAGAAGCUCCUGUGAAAAUUCCCAGUGGGUUACCAUAUGUAUAUUAAUGGCUAUUUGUAAUAAUGGAAAAUGUUGAGCAAGUUUUCCAAUGCCUUCAUUAGCUGCCCUUGCAGAAAUAGCUGCCACCAUGAAGCUAUUUUUCCUUUUCAGUGUGAGAUGAGAAGACAAUUUGUAAGGGUAGCAGUGAACUGCUGCUACCUCCAUUGCUGAAUUUCAACAGCUUUGAUGUCUUAUAACCUACUGUACAAUGUUUAGCAUAAGGCAAGCUGCUGAUUUUUCUCUGAAAAAAAAAA